RNAcentral lists this long non-coding RNA (1242 nucleotides) under Vulpes vulpes (red fox). Its description in RNAcentral is "lncRNA (ENSVVUG00000013644.1)". The record is from RNAcentral. Lineage: Eukaryota; Metazoa; Chordata; Mammalia; Carnivora; Canidae.
AUGGGAACUAAGGAUGUGGGAGGGUGCCUGCAUCCCCUUCUGGCCAGUGUGGGGACAGGACCCUCCCCCGAGACCCUCGGCCUUCAGGGUGAAGGGCUAAGUGCUGAUUGGACCCCGCCUGCCCCACAUUAUGAUGCGGGACCCCACUGUGGGCGGAACUGUGGUGCCCCCGGGCUCCACCGCUGCCUGGUGCCCACUCUGCGUCCGCAGACCUUCGGAGGCACUCGUGCUCCGGAUUUGGCUUGCAGCGACCCGACUCUUCUCUCCCCAGUAGCCCAGUACUCCUCUCUCCUCAGUACCCCAACUCUCCCACUCUCUCCAGUACCCCAGUACUCCCACUCUCCCCAGUACCCCAACCCUCCCACUCUCCCCAGUACCCCAGUGCAUAAAGAGGAGGCGCUCACACAGCGACAGGUCACAGGUGAGUGGCAGCUGAUCCCUGCUCCCCGCGGGCCACAGUGGGGCCUGUGGGUCUGGGUGGGGGCACAGGCCUCCCGGGCUGGGGUCCACAACACCCCGACCCCCCAUGCGAUGACCGUGAGCAGCUCCUACAGCCCUUCCACAGCCCCACGGGGUGAGAGCGGCCAGCGAAGGAGGCUGCAGUCAGAACUCAGGCAGCUCCCCCGGGACCCCCACUCCCCUGUAAGCCCUGUGCUGUGCAGUGACCCAAGCCAUGACCUUUCCAGCCUGUCCUCGAUGCAUGGACCCCGACAGGGGUGGCUGACAUCCCCCCCAUCCCGCCCUGUGCCCCCUGGGUCCCCCUGGCCCAUGAGCAGGCUUGCUCUUCACGCACUGGAACGUGGAGUCCCUCGUGCUCCCCCAGGCUCCCUUCAGGCUAUUCACACAUUGCUGCCCUCAGGGUGGGGAGUUUGGUCACACUAUAGCUGGCAUCAGGUUUUAAUUUUGAUGAAGUCCAGUCCAUCGCUUUCUCCCCUUGGUCGUCGCUUUCUCCCCUUGGUCGUGUGCUUGUGGAAUCUAAGAGAAACCUUUGAUACCCCCACCCCCAAGCCCGCAGGGACACUCGCUGGCCUGCCCACCCACCACCAUCUCUGUGCAGGCCCCGGGCUGGGAGACGUCACCCCCGAGCAUCAGCACGAUGCAGGAGGACCUGGAGACCCUGCUGGCCUUGCAAAGGGCCAAUAUCGUGGCCCAGUACCAUCAGUUUCAAGGAGCUGCCCAGCCCCAGCCCCCGCAAGGCCAAGAAACUCCACCAGGAGACCCGGCACGCCAACAAAUAGAUAA